RNAcentral lists this small RNA (1739 nucleotides) under Aplysia californica (California sea hare). RNAcentral describes it as "phospholipase C". Lineage: Eukaryota; Metazoa; Mollusca; Gastropoda; Aplysiida; Aplysiidae. The record is from RNAcentral.
AGUAUCAUCGCUUUCCCCUAGGGUUGGAUCAGGAGCUAGAGAUCAAGCGAGGGGACGGAAAGCGGGGUCGAUUGAGCAGCGAAGAGUUCAUCUCUCUUUUCAAGGAGAUCUCCACCCGGCCGGAGAUCUACUUCCUUCUCGUGAGGAUGCAACGAGUGACGAAGGACAAAUGUUUGGAGAUUAUCAACAAGUUUGAGCCGUCCACAGAAGGCCGUCGGAAAGGACAGCUUGGCAUCGACAAUCUCGUGUGCUUGGACCACACACACACGCACACAUGCUCAGAAGUGCUGGGAGAUCAACUCUUUCAGUGGUCACAGGCUCUCAAGCUGGCCAUGUCAUUCCCGGAAGAGUUUGUCAACCACAACAAGAAGUUCCUGUCUCGUAUCUACCCCAAUGGCAUGAGGAUUGACUCCAGUAACUACAACCCUCAAGAUCUCUGGAACUGCGGUUGUCACAUGGUGGCCUUGAACUUCCAGACAGCGGGUCUGAUGAUGGACCUCUACCACGGAUGGUUCCAGAAGAACGGUGGCUGUGGGUACACCCUCAAACCUGCCAUCAUGAGAGAGGAGAUUGCUUACUUCAGCGCCAACACAAGAGAUGUCAUUCCUGGCAUCUCGCCGCAGAUACUUCAUGUUAAAAUAAUCAGUGGCCAGAACUUUCCUAAACCUAAGGGCUCAGCUGCUAAAGGUGAUGUGACUGACCCUUAUGUGACCAUUGAGGUUUUUGGCAUCCCUUCAGAUUGUGCAGAGGAAAGAACAAAGACUGUUCCUCACAAUGGCUACAACCCGAUCUUUGAUGAGAGUUUUGAGUUCCAGAUAAACCUGCCUGAGCUGGCUCUGGUCAGGUUUGCAAUUCUGGAUGAUGACUACAUUGGGGACGAGUUCAUUGGACAGUACACAAUUCCCUUUGAGUGUAUGCAAACAGGUUAUCGGCACAUUCAGUUGUUGUCCAACACAGGCAGUGUAAUGGAAAACUGUACGCUAUUCAUUCAUGUGGCCAUCACCAACAAGCGCGGAGGAGGGGUGAACAAACGAGGCCUGUCUGUGAAGAAAACUCGGCGCUCUCGAGACUACACCAGCAUGAAGUCUGUUGGGGUCAAGAGCAUUGAUGAAACUUUUAAGAUGGCCAUCCAACCUCUGCGGGAGGGAACUGACCUGCGGGACAAUGUCCAGCUGUCCCUGGCCACCUUCAAGGACUCAUGUUGUUUAGCCCCUAUCGCCAACCUCAAGCAGUGCAUCCGGCUCUUGUCCUCCAGAAUCGCAAACUCGGGAGAGUCUGUCUCACUCUCUUACUCCAUGAGAGGGGAUUAUCCAUAUAUUGAGGCUCAAGGUACCCUUCCAGAAAUUUUCAAGAAGUCUUUAAGCUCAUUCGAAGAGCUCAUCAAUGAAUGCAGAAGCAUGAUUCAAAAUGCUGACACUGUCUAUGAAAAGUUACUUCACUGUCAGCGUGCAGGCUUGGAAUGGCAUGAGGAGUUGGAGAACUUCUGUCAGCAGGCAGGACUCAAGGGACGCAAGCUGGUUAAGGCAGCAGAGAACUUUGCCUGGAAUAUCCGAGUUCUGAAGGGCCAAGCAGACCUGCUGGUUCAGGCCAAGAAAGACUGCCAGGAAUACAUCAGACAGAUCAAAGAAGCUGCUGUGUCCACUGGUCUGGCAAAGGGGGAAGUUGCAGGUCAGACAGAUGUCCCCAGCUCACCGACGUCUGAUGAAGAUCCUCCAGCUCUCUUAUUAGAAGAGUCAUGA